AAUCCAUGCAUGCAAAUCAAAAGUGGAGUAACUCGUGAACCAGAGGACUUAUGUGCUCGCUAUUGGUAAAAUGAAGGUCCGAGAAGAAGCCGGAGAGAAUUUUUGAGAGGACAUUUGACACUGUGGUAUUCUAAUCCAUGCAAAUCAAAAUGCUGCAGUAGAUGAUUCAUUCCAGAUGCCUCGUAUGUUUGAAAAUAUAAGCACAUAAUGAUUUACUUUAUUUUAUAAAUAAAUCAGUACAUUACAGACGUAAACUAGACAGUAAACCAUAAAUAGAUUGAAUAUGCGCAACAUGCUGAACACGCACCAAGGGUAUUGGAAAACCGACUACUCAGCAGGAAUGACUCGCGAUUGCGUGUGCUGAUGAUAGCGCGCAGCACGCGAGCAAAGAGGAAGAUGAGCUGUUAUGGUAGAGUAGUCGCGCGAAGCGCUUUCCAAAAACCAUAUUGUCGCCUUCUCCUGAUGCUGGAUGUCGAAGAUGAAGGUUCCAAAGACCUGCUCUCCCGAUAGUCGGUAAACGCCGCCGGGCGGGAUGGAGUAUACUACGAGUGAUGGUGCAAUACCGAGGAAGAGGUAAACCCUAGAUUGAUUUUGCGUGUGUUGCGUGGAGGCGGCGGCUCGACUUAUAUGGAGAUAUCAGGAAAAUUUUCAAAUCUAACUCUAGUCUACAAUAUCACAUAAAAACAAAAUAACUCAUGAAAAGUAGAAUAGAAGCAUAUCUACGUAAGUAUUUCGCCUACAAAAUAUGCAGAAUUAGUACUCCGGUGGUUAGUUUUCACCAUCUGAUCACUAGAAAAUAUCCUAAAAUAGCCACAUUAUAUGUAAUAUGCUACAAAUAUCUUCUUUCUUAGCACAAUUGGCACGCACAUCAAACAUAAACAUUGGUAGACAACUAGCAAGGUCAAAAUUUCGAGGGAUUCCCUACAUAAUGGUUGGCUGCUUGCUUUAAUAAACAAAAUCAGGUUCAGUCAAAUGUUUGGCAUGCCACUGAAAACAAUCCUCAUGUGCUCUAAUAAACCUGAAAUUUACUCGAAAUAUACUAACGAAAGCCCCACUGUUUCUUCCAUCUAACAUGAUGUUUGGAGGUGAGUCUCGGCCAAACCAAAAUUAUAUUUUGUUGCAGCUUAAACAAAAUAGAACCCGAGAAACCUCCCCGGUGCUGAAGCCAAUGAACAUUUUCUCGAGACCCAAAGACAUGUCCUUGUAGUUCUUGUAAGUUUUGAGAUCCACCUUCCUCAGAUAUGGUGCAGCAUCCAUGCUAACCGUCGUGUUCCUCUGCGUCGACUCCGGACACCAACACAAGGUGAUCGAUCUUGCCUGAUGCUGUAAUUAUGUAUUAUAACAUAUGCUUGCCUGGCUGAUCGAUCUUUGAGGUCCAGAUUAAUUGGGGAGCUGCUCUUUGAUCAUUUAAUAUGUGUGUGUUUUGAAAUGGGGAAAUUUUGGUAAUUUUUUGUUCUGAAAUAUAUGCUGAACUUGAUCUUUUCAGGAAAGAUUAAUUGUAAAUUAUGAGUUGUUGUGUUGAUGGAUUGGAGUAGCAGAAGAUGAGUUGUGAAUAUCCUAUUAGUACUAGAUGGGUACCCCGCGUGUUGCUGUGGGAUAUCUGUAUCAUAACAAAGUGUUAUUCUUGCUUUAAGGAAAUAAUAUCGAAAAGAGACAUGAAUGAUUUAGUCCAAAUAGACUACAGGAAACCUUGAUAGCAAAAAAAAAAAGCAGGCACAUUCAGAAUUAUACAUUCAGUUGAUCUCGAAGAAAAGUGGACAAAAUUAUCUUCAAGUUAGUGAGAUGUCCCAUGCUCUAGCCCAUUGUAAUAUAGAACUUCCGUCUUCGAUUCCUUGCAUUUCAUAUCAGUUUCUGCUUUUGUUUUGUUUGGCUGGAUAGUUCGAUUGUGGCAUCCACCUGGCUUACUCCGGCAUGGCAGCGCUCCCCUACUUCGAUGAGAUCGAUUCCUCCACCAUUGAUGUCCUCCUAAUCACCCAAUACUUAUUCCCCCCCAUUCCCAUUUCACCCUUUUUCUCUUCUUUACCCCUUCUGUGUAACUUCGCCCUUCAAAUUUGCAGCUUUCACUUGGACCAUGCCGCUUCUCUGCCCUACUUCUUGGAAAAGACGACAUUCAAGGGGCGCGUGUUCAUGACCCAUUGCCACAAAGGCCAUUUAUAGGCUACUCCUUUCCGAUUAUGUCAAAGUCAGCAAAGUUUCUGUGGAGGAUAUGCUGUUUGACGAGCAAGACAUUCUUCGUUCCAUGGAUAAAAUUGAGUUCUGUAUAUGCCACGAACCUGUAUAUUCCAUGAAUCUGAAACAAUAUGAGGAUGCUGAAUGCAGUAAAUCUGGAAAGUUUCUUUUCAUGAUGUAGACCUGUUACAAAUAGCAAUAUUAUUUGAUUGCAGUUUUUAGAAUCAUAGAAUAUGGUAUGUUUUUGUUGAAUGACAGUUGGACAGCUGCCUCAUAUUUAUUUUGUGGUGUAAUCUGAAAACUGAAAAAUGUAGAGGAUGUGGAUGUGCAAGAUGUUAAUGUAAUAUUCUGUGAUUUGUGUGGA
Non-coding RNA from Oryza sativa Japonica Group (Japanese rice), 2533 nucleotides. NCBI's taxonomy places the organism in Eukaryota, Viridiplantae, Streptophyta, Magnoliopsida, Poales, Poaceae. The record is from RefSeq and is a predicted model, not a curated record.